This 174-nucleotide non-coding RNA is filed under the name Candidatus Omnitrophota bacterium. The record is from RNAcentral. Lineage: Bacteria; Pseudomonadati; Candidatus Omnitrophota.
GUUUUUUGUAGAUUUCAAGGUGUCCGUGCGGAAGAAAUUUCGGCCGGGCUAAAUAGGGGAAGCGAGAGUUUGUCCGUCAAAUUUGACGGCAAAUGGCUCCGCGGUGCCGCCACUGUCAGCGGUUCGAGUUUCGGACUUGCCAGUCAGAAUACCAGCCUUGAAUUAACCAACAAA